This 253-nucleotide ribosomal RNA is filed under the name uncultured bacterium. RNAcentral describes it as "partial 16S ribosomal RNA". It matches the Rfam family "Bacterial small subunit ribosomal RNA", at positions 524 to 776 of the family's 1533-position model. The record is from RNAcentral.
UACAGAGGUCUCAAGCGUUGUUUGGAUUCAUUGGGCGUAAAGGGCGCGUAGGCGGCGCCACAAGUCACUUGUGAAAACUCUGGGCUCAACUCAGAGCCUGCAAGCGAAACUGUGGUGCUGGAAUAUGGGAGAGGUGCGUGGAAUUCCCGGUGUAGCGGUGAAAUGCCUAGAUAUCGGGAGGAACACCUGUGGCGAAAGCGGCGCACUGGACCAUAACUGACGCUGAGGCGCGAAAGCUAGGGGAGCAAACAGG